UACAGAGGUCCCAAGCGUUGUUCGGAUUCAUUGGGCGUAAAGGGUGCGUAGGUGGCGCCGUAAGUCGGGUGUGAAAUUUCGGAGCUUAACUCCGAAACUGCAUUCGAUACUGCGGUGCUUGAGGACUGGAGAGGAGACUGGAAUUCAUGGUGUAGCAGUGAAAUGCGUAGAGAUCAUGAGGAAGACCAGUGGCGAAGGCGGGUCUCUGGGCCGAUACUGACGCUGAGGAGCGAAAGCGUGGGGAGCAAACAGG
Molecule: ribosomal RNA, 253 nt
Filed under: uncultured bacterium
Lineage: Bacteria
Description: partial 16S ribosomal RNA
Rfam family: Bacterial small subunit ribosomal RNA
Source: RNAcentral